Molecule: ribosomal RNA, 497 nt
Filed under: uncultured bacterium
Lineage: Bacteria
Description: partial 16S ribosomal RNA
Rfam family: Bacterial small subunit ribosomal RNA
Source: RNAcentral
GAUGAACGCUGGCGGCGUGCCUAAUACAUGCAAGUCGAGCGAACAGACGAGGAGCUUGCUCCUCUGACGUUAGCGGCGGACGGGUGAGUAACACGUGGAUAACCUACCUAUAAGACUGGGAUAACUUCGGGAAACCGGAGCUAAUACCGGAUAAUAUAUUGAACCGCAUGGUUCAAUAGUGAAAGACGGUUUUGCUGUCACUUAUAGAUGGAUCCGCGCCGCAUUAGCUAGUUGGUAAGGUAACGGCUUACCAAGGCAACGAUGCGUAGCCGACCUGAGAGGGUGAUCGGCCACACUGGAACUGAGACACGGUCCAGACGCCUACGGGAGGCAGCAGUAGGGAAUCUUCCGCAAUGGGCGAAAGCCUGACGGAGAAACGCCGCGUGAGUGAUGAAGGUAUUCGGAUCGUAAAACUCUGUUAUUAGGGAAGAACAAAUGUGUAAGUAACUAUGCAAGUCUUGACGGUACCUAAUCAGAAAGCCACGGCUAACUACGUG